RNAcentral lists this ribosomal RNA (375 nucleotides) under uncultured organism. Its description in RNAcentral is "partial 16S ribosomal RNA". It matches the Rfam family "Bacterial small subunit ribosomal RNA", at positions 527 to 897 of the family's 1533-position model. The record is from RNAcentral.
GUAGGUGGCAAGCGUUGUCCGGAAUUAUUGGGCGUAAAGCGCGCGCAGGCGGUUCUUUAAGUCUGAUGUGAAAGCCCACGGCUCAACCGUGGAGGGUCAUUGGAAACUGGAGAACUUGAGUACAGAAGAGGAAAGCGGAAUUCCACGUGUAGCGGUGAAAUGCGUAGAGAUGUGGAGGAACACCAGUGGCGAAGGCGGCUUUCUGGUCUGUAACUGACGCUGAGGCGCGAAAGCGUGGGGAGCAAACAGGAUUAGAUACCCUGGUAGUCCACGCCGUAAACGAUGAGUGCUAAGUGUUAGGGGGGUUUUCCGCCCCCCUUAGUGCUGCAGCUAACGCAUUAAGCACUCCGCCUGGGAGUACGGCCGCAAGGCUGA